GAACGCUGGCGGCAUGCCUUACACAUGCAAGUCGAACGGGCAGCACGGGAGCAAUCCUGGUGGCGAGUGGCGAACGGGUGAGUAAUAUAUCGGAACGUGCCCGGUCGUGGGGGAUAACGUAGCGAAAGCUACGCUAAUACCGCAUACGAUCUACGGAUGAAAGCGGGGGAUCGCAAGACCUCGCGCGAUUGGAGCGGCCGAUAUCAGAUUAGGUAGUUGGUGAGGUAAAGGCUCACCAAGCCGACGAUCUGUAGCUGGUCUGAGAGGACGACCAGCCACACUGGGACUGAGACACGGCCCAGACUCCUACGGGAGGCAGCAGCGGGGAAUAUUGGACAAUGGGCGCAAGCCUGAUCCAGCCAUGCCGCGUGCAGGAAGAAGCAUCUAUGGUGUGUAAACUGCUUUUGUACGGAACGAAAAGGCUCUUUCUAAUAAAGAGGGCCCAUGACGGUACCGUAAGAAUAAGCACCGGCUAACUACGUG
RNAcentral lists this ribosomal RNA (483 nucleotides) under uncultured bacterium. RNAcentral describes it as "bacterial SSU rRNA". It matches the Rfam family "Bacterial small subunit ribosomal RNA", at positions 31 to 507 of the family's 1533-position model. The record is from RNAcentral.